AGCGGUAUAGUGUAACGGUAACACACCGGACUCUGACUCCGUAUUUCUAGGUUCGAAUCCUAGUACCGCUGCCA
RNAcentral lists this transfer RNA (74 nucleotides) under Candidatus Onthovicinus excrementipullorum. Its description in RNAcentral is "tRNA-Gln". It matches the Rfam family "tRNA". Rfam says of the family: Transfer RNA (tRNA) molecules are approximately 80 nucleotides in length. Their secondary structure includes four short double-helical elements and three loops (D, anti-codon, and T loops). Further hydrogen bonds mediate the characteristic L-shaped molecular structure. tRNAs have two regions of fundamental functional importance: the anti-codon, which is responsible for specific mRNA codon recognition, and the 3' end, to which the tRNAs corresponding amino acid is attached (by aminoacyl-tRNA synthetases). tRNAs cope with the degeneracy of the genetic code in two manners: having more than one tRNA (with a specific anti-codon) for a particular amino acid; and 'wobble' base-pairing, i.e. permitting non-standard base-pairing at the 3rd anti-codon position. The record is from RNAcentral. Lineage: Bacteria; Bacillati; Bacillota; Clostridia; Eubacteriales; Oscillospiraceae.